This 496-nucleotide ribosomal RNA is filed under the name uncultured bacterium. RNAcentral's name for it is "partial 16S ribosomal RNA". It matches the Rfam family "Bacterial small subunit ribosomal RNA", at positions 28 to 507 of the family's 1533-position model. The record is from RNAcentral.
GAUGAACGCUGGCGGCGUGCCUAAUACAUGCAAGUCGAGCGAACAGACGAGGAGCUUGCUCCUCUGACGUUAGCGGCGGACGGGUGAGUAACACGUGGAUAACCUACCUAUAAGACUGGGAUAACUUCGGGAAACCGGAGCUAAUACCGGAUAAUAUAUUUAACCGCAUUGUUCAAUAGUGAAAGACGGUUUUGCUGUCACUUAUAGAUGAUCCGCGCCGCAUUAGCUAGUUGGUAAGGUAACGGCUUACCAAGGCAACGAUGCGUAGCCGACCUGAGAGGGUGAUCGGCCACACUGGAACUGAGACACGGUCCAGACUCCUACGGGAGGCAGCAGUAGGGAAUCUUCCGCAAUGGGCGAAAGCCUGACGGAGCAACGCCGCGUGAGUGAUGAAGGUCUUCGGAUCGUAAAACUCUGUUAUUAGGGAAGAACAAAUGUGUAAGUAACUAUGCACGUCUUGACGGUACCUAAUCAGAAAGCCACGGCUAACUACGUG